Long non-coding RNA from Acinonyx jubatus (cheetah), 5916 nucleotides. RefSeq lists it as uncharacterized. The transcript is spliced from 3 exons. The record is from RefSeq and is a predicted model, not a curated record. Lineage: Eukaryota; Metazoa; Chordata; Mammalia; Carnivora; Felidae.
GUUCCCAGCCAGGACUUUGAGUCAAGCCGAGGCAAAGAUGUGAACGGGACCCAUCCACUUGUAGAGACCUACAAGAAACCGAAUGAUUCAGAGGGAAAAACAAAGCCACACGAGAAGCUGGCACGGACAAGUAUUUAUGGCUUAUUAUGUGGCAGGACUGUCUUCUUAAGUAGAAUUCUGCCUAGAGGACAGGGUAAUAAGUAGGUCGGGCGUGACUCACACGGAAGCGAGAGAGCAUGGAGGGAUUGGAGAAAGGAAGGGUUGCCUCGCGCUCACGUGUCUUCCCAAUGGGUAUACGUGAAACCGGAAAUCCCAGGGGUUAAGACUACACCCUCCUCAGCUCUUUCCAGCAUUUCGUACGUUAGCCCCUAAUGAGGUAGGCUACCGAUCCCUAAAACUGGUGUGCUGGCAAGUUUUUGCAGCCAAUUCUCAAAAACACAGGGAGGAUAUGUCCUCCCUGCUGGUGCACACCCUGCAGGUUAAGGGCAGACUCCUUCGCAAGGCCGUCGCGACUUCAAACACUAGCCACAAAUUUCAGGCAUCCCCUGCCCCUCUGCCUGGCUGACUACAAACGUGGGCCUUCCCACAAUCCCCUCAGGUUUCAGAAUGGGUGCGAAUGCCACACCGAACUCAGGAUGCCCCUGAGGAAAUGAUUACCAUUUCAUUACAUAGGACACAAAUGAAGAGCCAAAUGAACAGGUAUGUAGGGCAAGUUCUAGUAGGGUCUCAAGUUGCUGCCUCAGGGUCCAGACUUUUACAUGGGGAUUCAUAUAUAGGCACGAUGGAUUAAACCAUUGGCCACAUGACCGAACUCGGUCUCCAGUCCCUUUCCUCUCCCAGCGUCAGAGUUGUGGCUGAAAGUUCCAACCUUCUGUGCCCAUGCUUGGUCUUUCUAGUGUGGCCAGCCCUUCCCUCGAAGCUAUAGAAGGGCUCAUUGUGAGUCAUUUCAUUAGUACAAACUCAGGCAUGUUGUCAAGGGGCUUGUUAUAAGUAACAAGAGUUACUCCUAUUAUUCAAAAAAUUCCCAGAGUUUUUGGAGCUCUGUGCCAGGAAGGACAGAUGCCGGCUAUGUUCCUUCUCCUAUCUCAGGAAGAGAUACACGUGAUACGCUCUCGUGGGCUGGUGUGGGUUGACUCCAGCACACCACUGUUCCUAGCCUCUGGAUUCUUCUGCAGAGACUUGAAAAAUCCUAAUAUCUGGGUCUCAGCCUCGGAGAUUCUGCUUUAAUUAGUGUGGGGACCAACCUGGCCCUGAAGCCUUAGAAGCUCCCGGAAUUUCCUCGUAUGCAGCAAAGCUUGAUUCCUACGGACCCUCCUUCUCCUUCCUUAAAGCCUCCCCCAACAGUCUCCAGGAUAUAAACCCAAAGGGGUUGGAAGUGGGAUUAACCCUUUUUGGUUUUCUGAGCGAUAAGGCAGAGUUGCAAGGGAUGCCCUGGCACAAUUUAGGGCCAGCCGUCCUGCUCCUGCCUGGGAUCUAGGAAGACUGGCAUUGCUUUGUGCCCCUAAGAACCUUUCCAUGGCAUGGACACCCUGGCUUGAAGCUCAAACUGUCUUCUUCAUCAUCAAUCAUCAUCAUCAUCAUCAUCAUCAUCACAAGGCUGAGCAUGUUCAAACCUACUGGAGACAAACCUGAACAGGUCCGAAGAGAGAAAUGGGUCCUUAACCCAAAGCCUUCGUGCAGAUCCUACUAACUGAGUUAGUGAGUUUCCUCUCGGGGCAUAUAACUAAAUGAUUACCAUAAACUAUAAGACGCUUUAUAGCCUACAUCAUUCUUUUAGUUAGGUAUUUCCAUGAGUUCCUUCUUCCAAUUCCUUCAGCUCUUUGUCUACACGUCACCUAAUCAGUAAGGCCUCCCCUGACCCUCAUUUUCCCCAACACAAUUGGUUAUCAUGGGAAGUAUUUCACACAUGCUUCCCCAGCGACUGCCUACAUCUCUGUGCCAGGAAGAAAGCCCGGGGAGAGACAUCCAACAGGAAGCGGGGCUUUCUGGGAAGAAGCAAGGAUCUGAUUGAGAUCCUUCAGGAUCCAAGUUUGUCAUUUUAAGUCAACGCGCCACUCCCAGGGGUUUAAAGCCAUUGCAAACGUGUGCCGCGUUCUAGCAGAGUGUAGUCUCGGAGGGCAGCAUGUGGUUCUUAGGAUAUGCUGUCAAGGGAAGAAUUCCUCAGGCCCCCUUUGUGUUCCCUUGCGAUCAUCCUCCGGGAAGGGAGAACAGGAGUGUGAAAUUGUUUAACAGACGGAGCUAGAAGUUCAGAGCUCUCCGUCCUCAUUAGGAAUCCAAAAAACUAGAAAUGCUUACAGAUAAAGCUUACGUGUUUCUCGGAGAUGGCAAUCUGUCAUCUUCCACUACCCAGUGGUGACUCUGAAACUCCUACUACUGAUCUGUCAUUACCUUUCAUUCAUGUCUCCGCUCGUGAAGGGCUAUGUGUGUCCAGCCACGACUUGAUGAGGGCAGACCUGUAAGGAGUUGCCCUCCUCCAGGCACUGGUGAGCUGGACAUUAGACAAGUAAGUACUGAAAUUGUUUGAUUCAAUUUUACUGAUCUCACAAAAGCAGAGUUUGGGGUUUCGUAGGAUUACAAUUUAAGGCACAUCAUCUAACCUUGAGGUCAGAGACGUUUGGUUGAAAAGUGACAUCAUAAGUUGAAGUUUGAAGGAUGAGGAGAAGUUGUGUUGAGUUUCUAAAAAAUAAUUGAACUUGAUUCUCUAGCCGAUGGGCAUCUUGUCCCUGAAGGUACAGAAUCGAAAUUGUCCUUCUGCAGAAGGGAUUAAUAACCUAUUUUCGUGUGUGUGUGUGUGUGUGUGUGUUUAAUUCUGCUGAACCAGAAGGGAAGAACUGGGUGGAAUAAUAUCUACUUGCUGAACAGAGGUAUAGUGACACUUGCUAUCCAACCCCAGCUAAAGAGUUCCUGUAUUUUUAACUAAAGGUGGUAUUAGAAGUGUAAUUGGCAAUGUUGUUUUCCUUUUCAUUGUUAAGUGCAUUCAUUAACUCUAAUUGAUAUUUCAGGGCUUGUAUCUUGGUUGAUAAAAGCUUAAGAUAAAGUAUGAUUGUCCUAUUUUUAGGUUUUGGAAAAAACACUGCUCUUCGGAAAAAGCGGUGUGCAACAUGACAAAGGACGAGCCUGUUCCCCCUCGCUACCCCCAGGCAUGCGGUGAAGGGCACUAAAUGACCUUGGAAGCUCCAUAAUUCAAUAGAGUUUCACGUGAAUAAGGCAUUAUUUGAUCUGAAAGCUACAGGGAUCAGGCCAAGAAAAGCUUGCUUCGAAAGCCGGAGGAGAGAACCACAGGGGGAAAUGUACGAGAACGUUGAGGAUGCUUUCGCUGCACCGGCCAACGCGUGACUUUGUCUAUUACAAAUCUGAUUUUAAUGUGGUCCAUGAAUUCUGCACUGGAAAAAAAAAAAGAAAGGAAAAGAAAAGGGGAAAAACAUUCAGGUUGCCAAGGCCAGUCUAUGAGGACUCAGAGCCACAGAUGAACAAAAGUCCGGAUCAGCUACUUAAUCUAACUCAGAAGUGACCUCCUUCAGGAAGCCUCCCGGCCCUCCCCCGUCAAGGCCGAGGUGGAAGUCUGUCGUGGGUUGUGUCUCUUGUCAUCUUCGGCCCUUCUUUCAGCGAACUUCCCAUGUGUAUUGCCGAUGGGGGUUUGUCUGUCACACUAGUAGACUGGUGGCCCUUAAUGGCAGCUGUGGGAGAAAGACCUGGUUUAUGGCCGGUGUUCAACAAAUAUUUGCUGAGCAAAUGCGCCAGUUUAUGUAGAGAAGAUAAAAUUCACAUGGUCUGUACUCAGAAGCCAACUGAUGAUGUUAUCUGGGGUGACAAGGAGAAAACAAGAGGCGACUGAGGAAGAAAAAAAGAUGAACCCCACAAUAUCCUAAGACUGAGCCGCUAAUAUUGACACGGUUCUCUUCGGAUGGUUGAGGUGUCCGACCAGGACUGCUGAGUUGGUUGGGCGGAGAAGGAGAGGUGAAUCUUCAGCCAUACCUCAGUUUUCAGUUCGUAUGAUGUUUUGGCUGGAAUUCUGGGUCCAUUACCAAGAGACUAGGACACACACGCCUCUCCUUUGGGAACCAAGAGGUAAGAACAGCAACAACCAGCUACAGCCAGAAACUCUAUUGAGGAAAAGAGAAAGCAGAAAGAUUAAUGUUGCGAGCUCUUCCUAUGUGUUCCAUGCCAGUAGGCAAUUUCUCACCUUCUCUGAUGUAUCCUCUUGACUUUUCUGGAGGUAGAAUUGCCUUAAAUCUUUACCUGUGAAGGAAAUCAGAGGCAAAGGAAUUAGGAGACUAAUCUGCAUGAAGUCAGAUAGCUAGCCAGGGAGAAGUUGAGUUGGGCACAGAGUAACCACCCUCUAGAAACUCAGAUGGACCGCGUUUUAAAAGCCAAGCAAUGCCCCCCUCCCCCCAAUAGGGGAGUCCCUGUCCUAAUACUAACACAGGAAAUGACUAGGAUGUUGAGAUAUCUCCCUUUAACUUUAUUUUACAUGUGAGGUACAAAAAAAAGACAGAAUCUAUCAGGAAAAAUGAAUUCAGCUCCUCUGGUUGCCGCGGAGACAAACUACUUACCGACCACCUCCGAACCUUUUUCGUGGGGAACAACCACAAUUGAGAUUUCUAACUUCCAAGAAUUGUAUUCAAGGAGGAUUGGCUUCCACUCAUUCACAGUCUGGAUUUGAAAACCAAAAUUGAGGGGGGCCUCCUGUACUCAUUUCCUGGUGUUGAAAAUCUGAGUAGCAAAAACUAUUUAAAUCUUAGAGCUUUGUUUCAAGAUCCUGAGUGGAGGCAAGUUUCCGUUUCCUGAGAGGUGUGUACAUUGUGUGUGUGUGUGUGUGUGUGUGUGUGUGUGUGUGAGAGAGAGAGAGAGAGAGAAAGAAAGGGAGAGAGAGAGAGAGAGAGAGAGAGAGAGAGACAGGGCAAGACAGAGGGCUCUCUAGAAGCUAUUUGAUAUGCCAUUCUAUAGAAUUAAACAUAAAACAUGAGAGUAAAAAUUAGUUUGUCUCCAAAAGCAUUGUUUAAAUAAGAAUGAAUUCGAACCAGAAGAAAAGCAGCAUUGUCCUCCCUGGAAAUGCCAUCUGCAACACUUGUGAAACAUUGGUUAAAUGUGGAGACACAGCUAGUGAAAAUGUCUGUAUAUUUACAGACUCAGGGCUGCUACCUAGGCAGGGAAACACGGGGCAGCCGGCUGCUCACCUGGACUCCUGCUCUGGGAAUGGAGGCUUCAUAUGAGAGUGGGUUUAGGGUAGCUGCCGUGUGUGGGUUCAAACAAAAUCCAGAGAAUAGGGCCUGGCGUGAAGUGACACUGGAAUCAGAGAGGCGGUCUUAAGGCAGCAUUAAUUGCCGGUGGAGACGGGACGAAAGUGGGCGUUGGUGGAGGGGCCAGCUACUGGAGAUGGGAGCCAGGGAAGGCAUCAGCGUGGGGGUAGAGGAUGGAGUUGUGGAGUUUCUCUGUUGUGCUGGCAGGUAAGCCCCGAGUCUGUGCCGGGCUACCGAAGCAUUAGCCCGUGGUGGACACUUGUUGAGGUCAGCGGGGGAACUGGAGAACACCAGCCCCUUCCUUUCAUAGAAGAGGACGCCGCGAGUCGGAGGGCAGACAAGCCGUGUGAGGACACCCAGGAAGUGAGAGCUGAAACCACAGCUCCAGUGGCUUGCGGUCUUCUUGGCUGUUUUGGUAAACACAGCCACUGACCGGUACAUUGCUUUCCACCAACCUUCAUGGCUGCCCGUUAUUUUUUUAUUUCAUUAUCUGUGUUCAGUCAAUUGACGACAGAAAGAAGCGGGGGAUUUCAGCAGACCGUAAACUUCCCUGAAAUCAUUACCUGUACACUGAAUACUAUUUAAUGGCUAUUGGGAUAUAAUCAGUGAACUGAGGUCGGUAUCGGGUGCUGAUUAUGAACAAUAAACAUGAUGAUAACUUAGUUAAUAUACAGUC